GGGACUGAAAAUAAGUAGGGAAGCACGUGAGCUGACUGUCAAGAAAAGCCGCUAUUGUUUGCAGGAUACCCGUACCGUAAACCGACACAGGUGGAUGAGGAGAGAAUCCUAAGGCCGACGGGAGAAGCAUUGUUAAGGAACUCGGCAAAAUGACUCCGUAACUUCGGGAGAAGGAGUGCCAGUAAGAUGGCCGCAGAGAAUUGGCCCAAGCAACUGUUUAGCAAAAACACAGGUCUAUGCAAAACCGAAAGGUGAGGUAUAUGGGCUGACGCCUGCCCGGUGCUGGAAGGUUAAGGGGAGAGGUUAGCGCAAGCGAAGCUUUGAACUUAAGCCCCAGUAAACGGCGGCCGUAACAAUAACGGUCCUAAGGUAGCGAAAUUCCUUGUCGGGUAAGUUCCGACCCGCACGAAAGGCGUAAUGAUUUGGGCACUGUCUCAACAAUGCACCCGGUGAAAUUGAAAUACCAGUGAAGAUGCUGGUUACCUGCGCCAGGACGGAAAGACCCCAUGGAGCUUUACUCCAGCUUGAUACUGGGAUUCGGUAUUGCAUGUACAGGAUAGGUGGGAGGCUAGGAAAUGGUAACGCCAGUUGCCAUGGAGCCAAUGUUGGGAUACCACCCUUGCAGUACUGGGUUUCUAACCAGCAGCCGUGAUCCGGCUGGGGGACAAUGUCAGGUGGGGAGUUUGACUGGGGCGGUCGCCUCCGAAAGGGUAUCGGAGGCGCUCAAAGGUUCCCUCAGAAUGGUUGGAAACCAUUCGAAGAGUGCAAAGGCAGAAGGGAGCUUGACUGCGACACCGACGGGUGGAGCAGGUACGAAAGUAGGACUUAGUGAUCCGGUGGUAUAAAGUGGGAUUGCCAUCGCUCAACGGAUAAAAGCUACCCUGGGAUAACAGGCUUAUCACUCCCAAGAGUUCACAUCGACGGAGUGGUUUGGCACCUCGAUGUCGGCUCAUCGCAUCCUGGGGCUGAAGUAGGUCCCAAGGGUUGGGCUGUUCGCCCAUUAAAGCGGUACGCGAGCUGGGUUCAGAACGUCGUGAGACAGUUCGGUCCCUAUCCGGCGUGGGCGUAAGAUAUUUGAGAGGAGCUGUCCUUAGUACGAGAGGACCGGGAUGGACUGGCCGCUGGUGUAUCUGUUGUCUUACCAAAGGCAUAGCAGAGUAGCCAAGCCGGGAAGGGAUAAACGCUGAAGGCAUCUAAGCGUGAAGCCCCCCUCAAGAUGAGAUAUCUCAUAACGUCAAGUUAGUAAGACCCCUUGAAGACGACGAGGUAGAUAGGGCAGAGGUGGAAGUGUGGUAACACAUGGAGCUGACUGUUACUAAUAGGUCGAGGGCAUAAUCAA
Molecule: ribosomal RNA, 1339 nt
Filed under: metagenome
Description: bacterial LSU rRNA
Rfam family: Bacterial large subunit ribosomal RNA
Source: RNAcentral